Cebus imitator (Panamanian white-faced capuchin) is the source of this 746-nucleotide RNA transcript. It is a transcript of the gene named small nuclear ribonucleoprotein-associated protein B-like, with no coding region annotated. The transcript has a single exon. Lineage: Eukaryota; Metazoa; Chordata; Mammalia; Primates; Cebidae. The record is from RefSeq and is a predicted model, not a curated record.
GGGCAAGAGCAGCAAGAUGCUGCACCAUGUUGACUACGGGGUGAGGUGCAUCCUGCAGGACAGCCGGAUCUUCUUCGGCACCUUCAAGGCUUUUGACAAGCACGUGAAUUUGAUCCUCUGUGACUGUGAUGAGUUCAGGAAGAUCAAGCCAAAGAACUCCAAACAAGCUGAAAGGGAAGAGAAGCGAGUCCUUGGUCUGGUGCUGCUGCGAGGGGAGAACCUGCUCUCAAUGACAGUAGAGGGACCUCCUCCCAAAGAUACUGGCAUUGCUCAAGCACUUGCUGGGGCUGCUAGGCGUCCAGGGAUUGGCAGGGCUGCUGGCAGAGGAAUCCCAGCUGGGGUUCCCAUGCCUCGGGUCCCUGCAGGACUUGCUGGGUCAGUCUCUGGGGUUGGCGGGCCAUCUCAACAGGUGAUGACCCCACAGGAAGGGGCACUGUUGCAGCUGCUGCCACAGCCAGUAUUGCCGGGGCCCUGACCCAGUGCCCACCUGGCUGUGGGGGUCCUCCCCCUCCUAUGGGCAGGGAAGCACCCCCUCCAGGCAUGAUGGGCCCACCUCCUGGUAUGAGGCCUCCUAUGGGUCCCCCAUGGGGAUCCCUCCUGGAAGAGGGACUCCAAUGGGCACGCCCCCUCUGGGAAUGCGGCCUCCUCCUCCUGGGGUGCGAGGCCUUCUUUGACCCUUGGCCACAGAAUAUGGAAGUAGCUCCGUACAGGUGUGGGUUCGAUUCCUCAGGGCUACGUUACCACAG